Molecule: non-coding RNA, 23 nt
Filed under: Arabidopsis thaliana (thale cress)
Lineage: Eukaryota; Viridiplantae; Streptophyta; Magnoliopsida; Brassicales; Brassicaceae
Source: RNAcentral
UGCAAUUAAUUUCCUGAAGUGAC